GAUGAACGCUGGCGGCGUGCUUAACACAUGCAAGUCGAACGAUGAAGCCCAGCUUGCUGGGUGGAUUAGUGGCGAACGGGUGAGUAACACGUGAGUAACCUGCCCUUAACUCUGGGAUAAGCCUGGGAAACUGGGUCUAAUACCGGAUAGGAGCUCCUACCGCAUGGUGGGUGUUGGAAAGAUUUAUCGGUUUUGGAUGGACUCGCGGCCUAUCAGCUUGUUGGUGAGGUAAUGGCUCACCAAGGCGACGACGGGUAGCCGGCCUGAGAGGGUGACCGGCCACACUGGGACUGAGACAGGGCCAGGACUCCUACGGGAGGCAGCGGUGGGGAAUAUUGCAAAAUGGGCGAAAGCCUGAUGCAGAGACGCCGCGUGAGGGAUGACGGCCUUCGGGUUGUAAACCUCUUUCAGUAGGGAAGAAGCGAAAGUGACGGUACCUGCAGAAGAAGCACCGGCUAACUACGUG
This 466-nucleotide ribosomal RNA is filed under the name uncultured bacterium. RNAcentral describes it as "partial 16S ribosomal RNA". It matches the Rfam family "Bacterial small subunit ribosomal RNA", at positions 28 to 507 of the family's 1533-position model. The record is from RNAcentral.